This 253-nucleotide ribosomal RNA is filed under the name uncultured bacterium. Its description in RNAcentral is "partial 16S ribosomal RNA". It matches the Rfam family "Bacterial small subunit ribosomal RNA", at positions 527 to 779 of the family's 1533-position model. The record is from RNAcentral.
CGAAGGGGCUAGCGUUGUUCGGAAUUACUGGGCGUAAAGCGCACGUAGGCGGAUUGUUAAGUGAGGGGUGAAAUCCCAGGGCUCAACCCUGGAACUGCCUCUCAUACUGGCAAUCUUGAGUUCGAGAGAGGUGAGUGGAAUUCCGAGUGUAGAGGUGAAAUUCGUAGAUAUUCGGAGGAACACCAGUGGCGAAGGCGGCUCACUGGCUCGAAACUGACGCUGAGGUGCGAAAGCGUGGGGAGCAAACAGGAUU